UGGGGAAUAUUGCACAAUGGGCGCAAGCCUGAUGCAGCCAUGCCGCGUGUAUGAAGAAGGCCUUCGGGUUGUAAAGUACUUUCAGCGGGGAGGAAGGGAGUAAAGUUAAUACCUUUGCUCAUUGACGUUACCCGCAGAAGAAGCACCGGCUAACUCCGUGCCAGCAGCCGCGGUAAUACGGAGGGUGCAAGCGUUAAUCGGAAUUACUGGGCGUAAAGCGCACGCAGGCGGUUGAUUGAGUCAGAUGUGAAAUCCCCGGGCUUAACCCGGGAAUUGCAUCUGAUAAUGGUCAGCGAGAGUCUUGUAGAGGGGGGUAGAAUUCCAUGUGUAGCGGUGAAAUGCGUAGAGAUGUGGAGGAAUACCGGUGGCGAAGGCGGCCCCCUGGACGAAGACUGACGCUCAGGUGCGAAAGCGUGGGGAGCAAACAGG
This 429-nucleotide ribosomal RNA is filed under the name Chloroflexota bacterium. RNAcentral's name for it is "Chloroflexi bacterium partial 16S ribosomal RNA". It matches the Rfam family "Bacterial small subunit ribosomal RNA", at positions 355 to 776 of the family's 1533-position model. The record is from RNAcentral. Lineage: Bacteria; Bacillati; Chloroflexota.